Molecule: ribosomal RNA, 487 nt
Filed under: uncultured euryarchaeote
Lineage: Archaea; Methanobacteriati; Methanobacteriota
Description: bacterial SSU rRNA
Rfam family: Archaeal small subunit ribosomal RNA
Source: RNAcentral
CAAGGGCCGGGCAAGACCGGUGCCAGCCGCCGCGGUAACACCGGCGGCCCGAGUGGUGAUCGUGAUUAUUGGGUCUAAAGGGUCCGUAGCCGGUUUGGUCAGUCCUCCGGGAAAUCUGACGGCUUAACCGUUAGGCUUUCGGGGGAUACUGCCAGGCUUGGAACCGGGAGAGGUAAGAGGUACUACAGGGGUAGGAGUGAAAUCUUGUAAUCCCUGUGGGACCACCUGUGGCGAAGGCGUCUUACCAGAACGGGUUCGACGGUGAGGGACGAAAGCUGGGGGCACGAACCGGAUUAGAUACCCGGGUAGUCCCAGCCGUAAACGAUGCUCGCUAGGUGUCAGGCAUGGCGCGACCGUGUCUGGUGCCGCAGGGAAGCCGUGAAGCGAGCCACCUGGGAAGUACGGCCGCAAGGCUGAAACUUAAAGGAAUUGGCGGGGGAGCACAACAACGGGUGGAGCCUGCGGUUUAANNGGAUUCAACGCCGGA